Molecule: long non-coding RNA, 427 nt
Filed under: Phascolarctos cinereus (koala)
Lineage: Eukaryota; Metazoa; Chordata; Mammalia; Diprotodontia; Phascolarctidae
Description: lncRNA (ENSPCIG00000032664.1)
Source: RNAcentral
CCCGAGUGAGCCCGUCUCGCCGCCCCUCGCCCUAUGACACGCGUGCCAGGCUGGGGCUCCGCCGCCGCGGCCGUGCCAGGGCAGGCUUUACCUGAUACCGGUCCCUUUCGGCUCGCCACGCCCCUCCCCUCCGCCAGUGGUGAGCAGGAGGAGCUCCGCGCGGGCGCCGCCCGGCUCUGGCUAUAAGAUCGAGACCGAAUCUCUCAGCGGAACCCACACAGCCGUGAGCAUGGCGUCCUCGGCGAGGUCCACUCCUCCGACCUCCAGGAGAAUGGACGGCGUCAACCUCCCGACCCACAAGUGCGACGUGGUCGUCAUAGGGGGAGGCAUCUCAGGUCUUUCUGCUGCCAAAUUGUUGGCCGAAUAUGAAAUUGAUGUUGUGGUUUUAGAAGCACGGAACCGAGUCGGAGGAAGACUUACACUGUGA